UGGGGAAUUUUGGACAAUGGGCGCAAGCCUGAUCCAGCAAUGCCGCGUGAGUGAAGAAGGCCUUCGGGUUGUAAAGCUCUUUUGUCAGGGAAGAAACGGUUGGGGCUAAUAUCCCCGGCUAAUGACGGUACCUGAAGAAUAAGCACCGGCUAACUACGUGCCAG
RNAcentral lists this ribosomal RNA (164 nucleotides) under uncultured bacterium. Its description in RNAcentral is "partial 16S ribosomal RNA". It matches the Rfam family "Bacterial small subunit ribosomal RNA", at positions 355 to 511 of the family's 1533-position model. The record is from RNAcentral.